This 1577-nucleotide ribosomal RNA is filed under the name bacterium. RNAcentral describes it as "partial 23S ribosomal RNA". It matches the Rfam family "Bacterial large subunit ribosomal RNA", at positions 1 to 1472 of the family's 2925-position model. The record is from RNAcentral.
UUGCAUGCGAAACAAGGGCACCCGGUGGAUGCCUUGGUUUGUCAGGCCGAAGAAGGACGUGUAAGGCUGCGAUAAGCUUCGGGGAGUCGCCUUAAGACUUUGAUCCGGAGAUCUCCCAAUGGGGUAACCCGGCGCGGGUCAUACCGCGUCAUCCAUAUUGGUAACAAUAUGGAAGGGCACCGUCUGAACUGAAACAUCUUAGUAAGGCGAGGAAGAAAAAUCAGAUGAGAGUCCCUGAGUAGCGGCGAGCGAAACGGGAUCAGCCUAAACUGUCUUUAUCCUCCGUGGAUUUAUCCGCGGAUAGCCGUACCAGGUGACGGAAAGGGCAGGGUUGUACGGAAAUGUUUAUUCGUUUGUGUACCUUUGCGGGAUAUAGCCCGCAGGGGUGCAUGAACGACGUGUCGGCGUGGUACCGCCGAAGAUGAAGUUACCAACCGGAGGGAUAACGGAACGGUCUGGAAAGGCCGGCCAUAGCGGGUGAUAGCCCCGUACGUGAAAUACCUUUGGCUUCAUAGCGUUUUACGUAAGUAGCACGGAGCACGAGGAACUCCGUGUGAAGCUGGGUCGACCACGAUCCAAGGCUAACUACCUGACAAGCCGAUAGUGAACCAGUACCGUGAGGGAAAGGUGAAAAGUCCCCCUGUGAGGGGAGUGAAAUAGUACCUGAAACCGAGUGCCUACAACGAGUCGGAGCCCCGAUUUAUCGGGGUGACGGCGUGCUUUUUGCAGAACGAGCCAACGAGUUAGUGAUAAUUGGCAGGUUAAGGCCGAAGAGGCCGGAGCCACAGUGAAAGCGAGGGUUAAUGCCCGUCUAUUGUCAAUUGUCCUAGACCCGAAACCGGGUGAGCUACCCAUGGCCAGGCUGAAGCGAUCUUAACCGAGCGUGGAGGGCCGCACCACUAUGAGUUACAAAUCAUUUGGAUGAGCUGUGGGUAGAGGUGAAAUGCUAAUCGAACCCGGAAAUAGCUGGUUCUCCGCGAAAUAUAUUUAGGUAUAGCCUCCAGUGUUGACCGCCGAGGGUAGAGCACUGAUAGGGGUCGGGCCCGUAUGGGUACCGCCCCCUGUCAAACUCCGAAUUUCGGUGGGUAGAACUGGGGAGUCAGAGUGUGGGGGCUAAGCUCCAUGCUCGAAAGGGAAACAGCCCAGACCAUCAGCUAAGGUCCCUAAAUCACACUUAAGUGGGAAAGGAUGUGGCGUUGCUAUGACAGCUAGGAUGUUGGCUUAGAAGCAGCCAUUCAUUUAAAGAGUGCGUAACAGCUCACUAGGUUAGCGAUACCGCGCCGAAAAUGUAACGGGGCUAAAGUGUGUACCGAAGCUAUGGAUUCGAAAGAGUGGUAGCGGAGCGUUCCGUGUUGGCUGAAGCCGAGCCGUAAGGCCAGGUGGACGACACGGAAGUGCGAAUGUUGGCAUGAGUAGCAUGAAAGCAGGUGAAAACCCUGCUCACCGUAAGGCUAAGGUUUCCGGGGCCACGUUGAUCGUCCCCGGGUUAGUCGGUCCUAAGGCGAGGCCGGAAGGCGUAGUCGAUGGAUAACAGGUUGAUAUUCCUGUACCGCGGAUAGCACGUUUGCACGUGCGGA